UACGAAGGGGGCUAGCGUUGCUCGGAAUCACUGGGCGUAAAGGGUGCGCAGGCGGUUUUGUAAGUCAGAUGUGAAAUCCCCGGGCUUAACCUGGGAACUGCAUUUGUGACUGCAUGGCUAGAGUUUGGCAGAGGGGGGUAGAAUUCCACGUGUAGCAGUGAAAUGCGUAGAUAUGUGGAGGAACACCGAUGGCGAAGGCAGCCCCCUGGGUCAAGACUGACGCUCAUGCACGAAAGCGUGGGGAGCAAACAGG
Molecule: ribosomal RNA, 253 nt
Filed under: uncultured bacterium
Lineage: Bacteria
Description: partial 16S ribosomal RNA
Rfam family: Bacterial small subunit ribosomal RNA
Source: RNAcentral